Anarrhichthys ocellatus (wolf-eel) is the source of this 139-nucleotide small nucleolar RNA. The record is from RefSeq and is a predicted model, not a curated record. NCBI's taxonomy places the organism in Eukaryota, Metazoa, Chordata, Actinopteri, Perciformes, Anarhichadidae.
UUGCACUGUAUUUGAACCUUGUUGGUCUCGUCUGUGACCUGUUGGGCCAUGCUACAGUGCUAUAGCAUAUCAGCCUUGUUCAUAACUGGAGCCUCCUGGCCACGCCCACAGUUUGCUCUUUUAAAUGCAAGUCACAGCU